CCUACGGGUGGCAGCAGUGAGGAAUAUUGGUCAAUGGACGAGAGUCUGAACCAGCCAAGUAGCGUGAAGGAUGACUGCCCUAUGGGUUGUAAACUUCUUUUAUAUAGGAAUAAAACGGGGUACGCGUACCUUUUUGUAUGUACUUUAUGAAUAAGGAUCGGCUAACUCCGUGCCAGCAGCCGCGGUAAUACGGAGGAUCCGAGCGUUAUCCGGAUUUAUUGGGUUUAAAGGGAGCGUAGGUGGUUUGUUAAGUCAGUUGUGAAAGUUUGCGGCUCAACCGUAAAAUUGCAGUUGAAACUGGCAGUCUUGAGUACAGUAGAGGUAGGCGGAAUUCGUGGUGUAGCGGUGAAAUGCUUAGAUAUCACGAAGAACCCCGAUUGCGAAGGCAGCUUACUAGACUGUAACUGACAUUGAUGCUCGAAAGUGUGGGUAUCAAACAGGAUUAGAUACCCGUGUAGUC
Molecule: ribosomal RNA, 460 nt
Filed under: uncultured bacterium
Lineage: Bacteria
Description: partial 16S ribosomal RNA
Rfam family: Bacterial small subunit ribosomal RNA
Source: RNAcentral